GGACUACUGGGGUUUCUAAUCCUGUUUGCUCCCCUAGCUUUCGCGCCUCAGCGUCAGCAAUAGCCCAGAAAACCGUCUUCACCACUGGUGUUCUUCCACAUAUCUACGCAUUUCACCGCUACACGUGGAAUUCCGUUUUCCCUAACUAUGCUCAAGGCAGGAAGUUUCAAAUGCAGCUCCGCAGUUGAGCCGCGGAAUUUCACAUUUGACUUUCCCGUCCGCCUACGCGCCCUUUACGCCCAGUAAUUCCGAUCAAUGCUUGCACCCUCCGUAUUACCGCGGCUGCUGGCAC
This 292-nucleotide ribosomal RNA is filed under the name uncultured bacterium. RNAcentral describes it as "partial 16S ribosomal RNA". The record is from RNAcentral.